UGGGGAAUAUUGGACAAUGGGCGAAAGCCUGAUCCGAGCCAUGCCGCGUGUGUGAAGAAGGUCUUCGGAUUGUAAAGCACUUUAAGUUGGGAGGAAGGGCUGUCGGCUAAUACCCUGCAGUUUUGACGUUACCAACAGAAUAAGCACCGGCUAACUUCGUGCC
This 163-nucleotide ribosomal RNA is filed under the name uncultured bacterium. RNAcentral's name for it is "partial 16S ribosomal RNA". It matches the Rfam family "Bacterial small subunit ribosomal RNA", at positions 355 to 509 of the family's 1533-position model. The record is from RNAcentral.